RNAcentral lists this ribosomal RNA (429 nucleotides) under bacterium. RNAcentral describes it as "partial 16S ribosomal RNA". It matches the Rfam family "Bacterial small subunit ribosomal RNA", at positions 355 to 776 of the family's 1533-position model. The record is from RNAcentral.
UGGGGAAUAUUGGACAAUGGGCGAAAGCCUGAUCCAGCCAUGCCGCGUGUGUGAAGAAGGUCUUCGGAUUGUAAAGCACUUUAAGUUGGGAGGAAGGGUUGUAGAUUAAUACUCUGCAAUUUUGACGUUACCGACAGAAUAAGCACCGGCUAACUCUGUGCCAGCAGCCGCGGUAAUACAGAGGGUGCAAGCGUUAAUCGGAAUUACUGGGGGUAAAGCGCGCGUAGGUGGUUUGUUAAGUUGGAUGUGAAAUCCCCGGGCUCAACCUGGGAACUGCAUUAAAAACUGACUGACUAGAGUAUGGUAGAGGGUGGUGGAAUUUCCUGUGUAGCGGUGAAAUGCGUAGAUAUAGGAAGGAACACCAGUGGCGAAGGCGACCACCUGGACUAAUACUGACACUGAGGUGCGAAAGCGUGGGGAGCAAACAGG